This 221-nucleotide unclassified non-coding RNA is filed under the name Hevea brasiliensis (rubber tree). The record is from RNAcentral. Lineage: Eukaryota; Viridiplantae; Streptophyta; Magnoliopsida; Malpighiales; Euphorbiaceae.
GGAAGAUCUUCUCUGCAGCACGACGAGGCACAGAGAAACCACCAUGUGUGCUGGUAUCGCUCGCAGUCAGUGUCUUACAGAAGAAAUCUGUCUGUGGCUUAUUCGGUUUCAGCCCAAGAUCUGAUGCUAGCAGCGCUUUCUCGUCAAUUGUAUUGAUCGGCUGAAGUGUCAUUUGGGCGUACACUUCAUCAGUCUCCGGAUCCGCAUGCAGAGUAACAUUG